GAAGUUAUAGCUCAGUGGUAGAGUGCAUGCCUAGCACGCACGAGGUCCUGGGUUCAAUCCCCAGUGCCUCCA
Molecule: transfer RNA, 72 nt
Filed under: Camelus ferus (Wild Bactrian camel)
Lineage: Eukaryota; Metazoa; Chordata; Mammalia; Artiodactyla; Camelidae
Rfam family: tRNA
About the family: Transfer RNA (tRNA) molecules are approximately 80 nucleotides in length. Their secondary structure includes four short double-helical elements and three loops (D, anti-codon, and T loops).
Source: Rfam by way of RNAcentral